GAGGCAGAGAGACAGGGGGAGGCAGAGAGACAGAGGGAGGCAGAGAGCCAGAGACAAAUGGAGGAGAUCAACAGACUCAAACAACUGGUGGAUCUGCUGAUAACGCAACUACAACUGGCCCAGCAAGAGAUAGCGAUAUUGAGGCUAUGGCAGAAAGUCAUGGAGGAUCAGCGACCAAGACUGGCCUGGAACAACAAACCUAUUGAGACGGAAAGACAGAGUGAAAGACAGAGGGAAAGGGAGAGAAAAGCAGAAUUGGAGAGACAAGAAAUGAAGGAGAAAGUGAAACAGGCAGAGGAAACAAUAAAAGCGUUAGAACGAGAGAUUGAGAGAUUGAAAGAGAUUGAACAGGAAAUAGCAUUUGAAAGAAAAAGAGACAUGCGUAUUGCAGAGAAUGAGGAAGUCAAACAGGUUAACAAAAAGGUAAAAGAGUU
This is a long non-coding RNA of Coregonus clupeaformis (lake whitefish), 434 nucleotides long. RefSeq lists it as uncharacterized. The record is from RefSeq and is a predicted model, not a curated record. The transcript has 2 exons. NCBI's taxonomy places the organism in Eukaryota, Metazoa, Chordata, Actinopteri, Salmoniformes, Salmonidae.